This 465-nucleotide ribosomal RNA is filed under the name uncultured bacterium. Its description in RNAcentral is "bacterial SSU rRNA". It matches the Rfam family "Bacterial small subunit ribosomal RNA", at positions 917 to 1382 of the family's 1533-position model. The record is from RNAcentral.
GGGCCCGCACAAGCGGAGGAACAUGUGGUUUAAUUCGAUGAUACGCGAGGAACCUUACCCGGGCUUGAAAUGCAGAAGACGUGUCGAGAAAUCGGCAUUCCAGUAAUGGCUUCUGUGUAGGUGCUGCAUGGUUGUCGUCAGCUCGUGCCGUGAGGUGUCGGCUUAAGUGCCAUAACGAGCGCAACCCUUGCCGUUAGUUGCCAUCAGGUAAUGCUGGGAACUCUAGCGGGACUGCCACCGUAAGGUGUGAGGAAGGUGGGGAUGACGUCAAAUCAGCACGGCCCUUACGUCCGGGGCGACACACGUGUUACAAUGGGCGGUACAGAGGGCGGCUACCCGGCGACGGGAUGCCAAUCUUCAAAACCGUUCUCAGUUCGGAUCGGAGUCUGCAACUCGACUCCGUGAAGCUGGAUUCGCUAGUAAUCGCGCAUCAGCCAUGGCGCGGUGAAUACGUUCCCGGGCCUU